Molecule: ribosomal RNA, 643 nt
Filed under: Halecium sp. CJM-2014
Lineage: Eukaryota; Metazoa; Cnidaria; Hydrozoa; Leptothecata; Haleciidae
Description: partial 16S ribosomal RNA
Rfam family: Bacterial large subunit ribosomal RNA
Source: RNAcentral
UUCGACUGUUUACCAAAAACAUAGCCCUAGAAAGUAUCUAAGGUGCAACCUGCCCAAUGAUUUUAAAGCAAAAAUAAAUAGAAGUUAUUUAAUAAAAUUUAAAGGACGCGGUAACCUUGACUGUGAUAAUGUAGCAUAAUCAUUUGCCAUUUAAUUGAUGGAUAGUAUGAAUGGUUAAACGAAUUUUCCACUGUCUUAAAAAGAAAUAAUCAAAAAAAUUAAAAUAAUAGUUAAGAUGCUAUUUAAAAUUGUAAGACGAAAAGACCCUAUAGAGCUUAACUACAACCUUUUAUAAAUAUUAUAAAAUAAAUUAAGAAAAAGAAAGGAUGGUAGUUUAGUUGGGGCGACUGUCUUCUAAAAUAAACGAAGAUAAACAAAGUUAAUAAAAAAACUUACUGUACAAUAAAUUUAUUUAACAGUUACAAAAGUAGGUUAUAAUGACCCGUUAUUAUAAAAUAAAAUAUAUAACGAUCAAUAAAUAAAAGCUACCUUAGGGAUAACAGGAUAAUUUUAUUUUAGAGAUCUUAUCGAAAAUAAAGUUUGUCACCUCUAUGUUGAAUUAAGGUAUCCUGACAAUGCAGAAGUUGUCAAAGGUAGGUCUGUUCGACCUCUAAGACCUUACAUGAUUUGAGUUCAUUCCGUA